This 1222-nucleotide long non-coding RNA is filed under the name Cyanistes caeruleus (blue tit). Its description in RNAcentral is "lncRNA (ENSCCEG00000004809.1)". Lineage: Eukaryota; Metazoa; Chordata; Aves; Passeriformes; Paridae. The record is from RNAcentral.
GUGUCAGCUGUGGAGAGCCUACAAACCUAGGAGAAUUCAAGGGCCUUCUAGAAACUCUUUCUGAGUUUAAUUUUAUAUUUAGAUGCUGUUUCUGCUCACAAGAGAAGGAAGUCCAGGUUCAUGAGGCUUCAAGACUUGGGAAAGGACCUAGAAAAUACCAAGGUUGAUCUGCUUUGUCCAUGCACAGACUGUUUGGAAAUUGAUUCCAGCUACAAGGCUUGGAUUUGGAUCUGGAUCAAAACAGUCUUUAAUUCAAAGUCUUUCAAAGAUGGAGGAACCUAUCCCUGGCACUGGUGAGAAUGCAAGGGUUGAUGUGUGCAGGUUCCUACAUCCAGGGAACAAGGCUGGCCAAAGUAGUCACCGUCCUUGACAGCGGAAGGAAAACUGAGGGCAACACAACAUCCAUGUGCAGGUUUGCAGCUGUACAGAAGGUCUCCAGGCCCAGCACUGGAGGAUGGGGCACUGCCAGCUGCUGCAUGAGGGCUGGAGCCAGCAGUGGGGCCAGCAGUGAGAAAUGGGCUGCCUGUACCAGGCUGAAGGUACAGCGUCAAGAGGCAUUUCUUGAUAUAUUGUUUCUUGUUAACAACCAUUGAUUGAUUUAGCCAUUUACAGGAUUUCUUUUACUCAUUUUACUUGUACAGGAACAAGGACAAAAUGCAGAAGGAGGGAUGCCUAGUGUGUCUCGGGAUUUGGUACCUGCCUACUUUUCUCAGGAGUCUGCAAACCUCAGUUAGGCCUGAUCAUUUCAAAUUCAGGGUUACAUUUUUCUCAUCUGUUCCUGGCAAUGUAAUUGCCUGAUCUUUCCUUAGGUCAUUGCACCAUUCAGACAACUCACCAGGCCUCAUCUUGCAAUACCUUAGGUUAGGGAUAGUUGAGUCUUAAUUUGUCUUUUCUAUGGUAUUCUGCAAGUGUGCGCAUGCUGUGUGUGUGAUGGGCUGCAGGCCAUGGACUGGCCACGUCUGAUUUGGCUAUGAAAGAUAAGAAAACCUUCCAAAGAACUUGGGAUGGAGGAGCAUGAAAGUGAACCUUGUGACUAAUAUGCAAACCCCUCUGUUUGCUGAGUUUUAAGUAAUGGGGGGAAGAAAGUUCUGAUUGUUGUUUUUAAAUGUAGAUCCUGGAAUCCAUGUAGCAAAAAUAGGGCAGUUGCUUUAUCAGUAGCUGAUGAAAAUAUGAGAAGAGUAAUUAUUGUAUAGUCCCAUUAAUAAAAUUGUACUGCAGCUCA